GAGUGGACGAGGAAGAUUAUUGAGUUGAUACCAGGACCAUCCACUGCACUUAUCAGGCUCCAUAUUCACCGGUUGUUGUUGAUGAUCUACCAAAACAGCCCGUGCAAUCAGAGUAACAAAAUGGAUCGGAACUGGUGCGUUGAUCACGGUGAGAAUCUCAACACUGUCAAUAUCCAAACCAGUUUCUUCCUUCACUUCUCUCACGGCGCAUUCCUUGAAGCUUUCACCUGCUUGAUGGAAUUACAGAUUUACAGACAGACAGAGUUCUAUUUGAGGCGUAAAAAAAGUGGGGGGGGGAGAGAGAUUAGGUAUUUUUCUCAUAGAUAAUAACAAUACCGUACCGUAUUCAAGUCGACCACCAGGUAUGGCGAAGGUGUGGUUUCCCACGGGAGAUAGACGUUGACCUAGAAGAACUGACGAGUCUCCUUUUGUCACGAAUACCGCAACAGCUACCUGUGGGAUUUUCACUUUUUCAAUUCCUCCGUCGUUCGCCUGAGCUUUACCUUCUUGGACCUCUUUCAUCAGAUGACCAAGUCAACUUGGAAGUUGGAACUUUUCUUCUUCUUUUGAUUUCUAUUAAAGUCAUAAAUUUAGGCGAGAAUAUAUUAAAUUUACCCUUUUAAAUCUUAACCGUCGAUUAACUCUUUCGCUUUCUGGGAGAAUCUUAUUCCAUUUAUACUGAAUAGUCGAAGAACAAAGAUGAAAAGUUACAUAAACCAGAUCAAUUAACAGUUGUAGUGUUUGAUUCAGAAGUGUUCUUUGGGAUUUUAAUCUCUAGAAUGAUAACGUUGGGUUCGAUGACAUGAUAUGCUUCAGCUCUCUUCCAAUCAGCAUUUGUGGGUAGUUCAAGCCUUCUGACAUGUCCAUAUUCCCACCAUUUAUCUUUUCUCCAAUCUUUUGCUGAUUCUCUCAUCUGUCUGCUCAUCUCUACCACCUUCCCAGUCUCCACGCAUAUUUCCAGUUCAUAUCCAGUCUCAAUGCUUCCUUCUGUGCUUAAAUCAAGAACAAGAUGAUAAAUAAUUCAAAACCCAUGGAUGGGAAAAGUAGUUAAGUCAGUUAUGUUGUAAUCCUAAUGAAUAGUUAGUUGCUUACUUGGUAAUUCAGAUUUCAGGGAAUAGAACAGGUCAGUUUCGUCCCAAUCAACCUUUCCUCCGACGGGCAACAGUGUGUGGGAUUCAAAGUCCCAAAGUGGGAAAGCGUCGGCUGGAUCGAAGAAUUUACCAAACAACAGAGGACUGAAGAAAGAUCCAUCUCCAAAC
This 1259-nucleotide long non-coding RNA is filed under the name Zostera marina. RNAcentral describes it as "long non-coding RNA (ZMAR_LNC001989)". The record is from RNAcentral. Lineage: Eukaryota; Viridiplantae; Streptophyta; Magnoliopsida; Alismatales; Zosteraceae.